This 253-nucleotide ribosomal RNA is filed under the name uncultured bacterium. RNAcentral describes it as "partial 16S ribosomal RNA". It matches the Rfam family "Bacterial small subunit ribosomal RNA", at positions 524 to 776 of the family's 1533-position model. The record is from RNAcentral.
UACGAAGGGGGCUAGCGUUGCUCGGAAUCACUGGGCGUAAAGCGCACGUAGGUGGCUUCUUAAGUCAGGGGCGAAAUCCUGGAGCUCAACUCCAGAACUGCCUUUGAUACUGAGAAGCUUGAGUCCGGGAGAGGUGAGUGGAACUGCGAGUGUAGAGGUGAAAUUCGUAGAUAUUCGCAAGAACACCAGUGGCGAAGGCGGCUCACUGGCCCGGUACUGACGCUGAGGUGCGAAAGCGUGGGGAGCAAACAGG